Molecule: non-coding RNA, 84 nt
Organism: Pelobates cultripes (western spadefoot toad)
Lineage: Eukaryota; Metazoa; Chordata; Amphibia; Anura; Pelobatidae
Source: the annotation of a GenBank genome assembly
CUUGCUGGGAGACAUGGGGACACUGGGAGACAGAUGUGUCUGUCAUAAUGUCUCCUAAUGUCCCUUAGUGUCUCAGUGUAUGUC